This 357-nucleotide ribosomal RNA is filed under the name uncultured bacterium. RNAcentral describes it as "bacterial SSU rRNA". It matches the Rfam family "Bacterial small subunit ribosomal RNA", at positions 29 to 373 of the family's 1533-position model. The record is from RNAcentral.
AGCGAACGUUAGCGGCGCGCCUAACACAUGCAAGUCGCACGAGAAAGGGGGCAACCCCCGGUACAGUGGCGCACGGGUGAGUAACACGUGGAUUACCUGCCCUGGAGUGGUGGAUAACCUGCCGAAAGGUGGGCUAAUACAGCAUGAGACCACGCAGUUUCGACUGUGAGGUCAAAGCGGGCUGAUGUUUACAAGCUCGCGCUCUAGGAUGAACCUGCGGCCCAUCAGCUAGUUGGUAGGGUAACGGCCUACCAAGGCAAAGACGGGUAGCUGGUCUGAGAGGAUGAUCAGCCACACUGGAACUGAGACACGGUCCAGACUCCUACGGGAGGCAGCAGUGGGGAAUCUUGCGCAAUG